This 1358-nucleotide long non-coding RNA is filed under the name Salmo salar (Atlantic salmon). RNAcentral's name for it is "lncRNA (ENSSSAG00000117197.1)". The record is from RNAcentral. Lineage: Eukaryota; Metazoa; Chordata; Actinopteri; Salmoniformes; Salmonidae.
AGCUCCCUUAAAAAAAAUUACAAUGGUGGGGGAGUGCCAAGAUGGUAUGGGCACAGUGGCUUCAAAACAUCGCCACCUGUCAAUCAUCGAGUGUAUAUAUAAAUAACUGGGUGAACAGUGCAUCAACUACUGUAGCAUGACUCGUGUUGUAGCAGAAAAUCCCAAAACUACUUUAGAAGUUUGAGGCUCAACUGAGUAAUUUUAUUAUAUGCUUUUAUUGUUUUUUUUAUGAGUGAGAAUUCUGCCUCUAUCAUCUGAACCCUGGCUGUAAAGACACACCCUCCACGGCCUCUGCACUGACGGUGACUCGCCUCGGGUUUCAUCCACAUAGGCCAUCCCAACCGCCGGCCUAGGGCUGCCAUACCUACACAGACAGACGGGUAGACAUUUUUACAUUACACUGACUAAAAUGCAAAUGUCUUUCAUUGUUGCAAAUGUUACUGUAUUUAGUUAGUGUACAAACCACUGACCGGGUGAAGGCCAGUCCGUCUGGUUGGGUCUGCACCGCUGACCAGGUGAAGGCCAGUCCGUCUGGUUGGGUCUGCACCGCUGACCAGGUGAAGGCCAGUCCGUCUGGUUGGGUCUGCACCGCUGACCAGGUGAAGGCCAGUCCGUCUGGUUGGGUCUGCACCGCUGACCAGGUGAAGGCCAGUCCGUCUGGUUGGGUCUGCACCGGGGCCUCUCUCACACACCUGGGCCAGCGUCUCUUCAAAACUUGAGACGGCAUGAUCGUUUCAGCCACAGAGUGGGAGCGAGAUGAUCUGGAAUAGAAAGCCCUGCUGCCACUGAAUGAAUCAGCGAUUCUACUGUAGUCUGUGUGGGUGAUGUGGGACUGACUGUCCUUCUCCGAGACACUGGAGUACUUGUCGCUCCAAGAUGUGUCUGAGACGCUGUAGUCCAUGACCUUGCUGACCUCCAACGCGUCUUUGUCCCCAUCUCUGUCUCCCAGGUGCUCGGAGAUCUCGCUGACACUACUCCUGUCUGUUUCAGUCUUGAUCUCACUCUCAAUGUCACUCUUGUAGUCCUCCCUAGGCUCUACUGAUGGGAUCCUCUCCUCACACCUCCAGUACCACUGGCUGUCAUUAUCACCACUGGCUGUCAUUAUCACCACUGGCUGUCAUUAUCACCCACCUUUUUUGUUGUUGUUUGUUUUCUCCGACAUUCCAAGCGUGACCGGUGCGAGGUCGUCCAGUGACAAAAUAUUAAUGUUGAAUUCUGCAGAGAAAACAUGACUUCAUGAAUCAACUGGACUCAGUAAAUUAUAUCAAAAACACUCUAUCUCUGGUUAACUAGCACUCAAAACAUAUUCUUGAAGAAAGUUUCUCAUUUCAUAUUGCUUUUCACUACAACUCUACAGA